UUUUACCAAAGAAAAAGAAAAUUUACUAUUUCUUCUUCACAUCUAAGUAGUUAUCCUUGUUUAGAUUAUCUGCUUCAUUAACAGUAAAGAAAUAACAAAUAUCUGAAAGGAAAUCGUCGUUCUUAUUUUUUAAAAAUAGCGUUUAUAUUACUGUGAGUGAAAAAUUCCAAUACGCGAUGAUUAUCGUAAUUUACCGCAUCAAAAUACACCCACCUGUAAUUCUAGCGAAUGACGUUGCGCCUGAGCGCUACGUACCAAAAUACCUGUGCGCCGCGCCAGCUAUGUAUCAAAUAUUCGUACUGAAGCGAGACGACGUGCAAGGUACGGUAGUUUGUAGCCGGUGAGAUUUUCGCGAGUGUGGACUAUGACAACGGAUGUGUAUGGCUUUUCCCGUCUGACUUCUCAAAAUUCAAGUAGAAGUGUUCAAGAUCACAAUAUUUGUACGUUUCGACUUAUAAAAACAGGUGAGUGCAUAAAAUUCAAUAUUUUCUCCAAAAAAAGUCCGAAAAUGCUAUUCUUAAUUUUAAACAAAGCGCAAACAUUAAGUUUAGCAUCGACAAUUAUUUAAACAUUUAUUGAC
Molecule: long non-coding RNA, 580 nt
Filed under: Androctonus crassicauda
Lineage: Eukaryota; Metazoa; Arthropoda; Arachnida; Scorpiones; Buthidae
Source: RNAcentral